AAAGGUAAAAUUGGUUUGUUAAUUAUAAAUGAGGAAGUGGUAUUGAAGCUAAAAAAAUUUAGAAAUAAAAUAGGAUUAGAUACCCUGUUAUACUAGAUUAAAAAGUAAAAGCUUAAAUAUUAAUAGUUAUAUACUUUAAACUUAAAGGAUUUGGCGGUGUUUUAGUCCGGUCAGAGGAACCUGUUUCUAUAGAACGAUAAACCACGCAUUAUCUUACUUUAGUUUGUAUACCGUCAUUAUUAGAUGAUUUUUAAAAAAUAAAUUGUUUAAAUAAAUUAAAAUUUAGUAUAUUAGAUCAAGGUGCAGCUAAUGAUUAAGUUGGAAUGGGUUACAAUAAAUUUAAUUUAAAUGGAUCUAGCGUUAGUGAAGGAGGAUUUGAUAGUAUUUGAGGUUAAUAAGAUUAGAUGAUAAUGGCUCUAAAAUAUGUACAUAUCGCCCGUCGCUUUC
This 447-nucleotide ribosomal RNA is filed under the name Lysirude griffini. Its description in RNAcentral is "partial 12S small subunit ribosomal RNA". The record is from RNAcentral. Lineage: Eukaryota; Metazoa; Arthropoda; Malacostraca; Decapoda; Lyreididae.